CUCGUAGGCGGUUCGUCGCGUCCGGUGUGAAAGUCCAUCGCUUAACGGUGGAUCCGCGCCGGGUACGGGCGGGCUUGAGUGCGGUAGGGGAGACUGGAAUUCCCGGUGUAACGGUGGAAUGUGUAGAUAUCGGGAAGAACACCAAUGGCGAAGGCAGGUCUCUGGGCCGUCACUGACGCUAAGGAGCGAAAGCGUGGGGAGCGAACA
RNAcentral lists this ribosomal RNA (207 nucleotides) under uncultured bacterium. Its description in RNAcentral is "partial 16S ribosomal RNA". It matches the Rfam family "Bacterial small subunit ribosomal RNA", at positions 568 to 774 of the family's 1533-position model. The record is from RNAcentral.